RNAcentral lists this ribosomal RNA (380 nucleotides) under uncultured bacterium. RNAcentral describes it as "bacterial SSU rRNA". It matches the Rfam family "Bacterial small subunit ribosomal RNA", at positions 28 to 418 of the family's 1533-position model. The record is from RNAcentral.
AAUGAACGUUGGCGGCGUGGAUUAGGCAUGCAAGUCGGACGGGCCGCGAGGCCAGUGGCGUAAGGGUGAGUAAGGCGACGGCAACCAACCCCGGAGUUGGCAAUAGCCGCGGGAAACUGCGGGUAAUAGCCAGCGACGCGGGCCCUUGACAUCGAGGGCCCGCCAAAGGUGCGAUUCCGCUCCGGGACGGGCCGUCGUGGUAUUAGGUUGUUGGCGGGGUAACGGCCCACCAAGCCUGCGAUGCCUACCGGGCGUGCGAGCGCGGCCCGGCACACUGGGACUGAGACACUGCCCAGACUCCUACGGGAGGCUGCAGUCGAGAAUCUUCGGCAAUGGGCGCAAGCCUGACCGAGCGACGCCGCGUGGAGGACGAAGGCCUU